RNAcentral lists this transfer RNA (69 nucleotides) under Candidatus Kaiserbacteria bacterium. RNAcentral's name for it is "tRNA-Ser". It matches the Rfam family "tRNA". Rfam says of the family: Transfer RNA (tRNA) molecules are approximately 80 nucleotides in length. Their secondary structure includes four short double-helical elements and three loops (D, anti-codon, and T loops). The record is from RNAcentral. Lineage: Bacteria; Candidatus Kaiseribacteriota.
GUCUUUGUAGCUCAACGGUAGAGCGCUCUUCCGAAGAGAGAGAAGAAGGUUCGACACCUUCCAAGGGCA